Siniperca chuatsi (mandarin fish) is the source of this 148-nucleotide small nucleolar RNA. RefSeq annotates it as small nucleolar RNA U109. The transcript has a single exon. NCBI's taxonomy places the organism in Eukaryota, Metazoa, Chordata, Actinopteri, Centrarchiformes, Sinipercidae. The record is from RefSeq and is a predicted model, not a curated record.
CCGCAUGUUUUGGCCGUGGGCUGUGGUUGGCCUCUCUCUUUCUGUAGAGUGGACAAAUACAAACAUGCUAGAUUAACACUGUGGGAGUUAACAGGGCCACCAGUCUCUGAAGGUCAGACUGAGUUGGUAGUAUAAUACUCCAACACUA